AUACUUAUCUAGCAGAAAAGAGAUACCAUGAUGAUGAAGAUGGUUUCCCCAAAUCUAAGUUAUACAUUGCACUCCCAAUGUGCUGAUCCUAAGAUCUCCUCAAAUAUGAGAAUCCCUACUGCAUAGUUUGUAAAAGUGGAGACUGUAUUUUUUCUCUCCC
Molecule: small nuclear RNA, 160 nt
Filed under: Mus spretus (western wild mouse)
Lineage: Eukaryota; Metazoa; Chordata; Mammalia; Rodentia; Muridae
Description: predicted gene, 23039 (ENSMSPG00010019750.1)
Rfam family: U1 spliceosomal RNA
About the family: U1 is a small nuclear RNA (snRNA) component of the spliceosome (involved in pre-mRNA splicing). Its 5' end forms complementary base pairs with the 5' splice junction, thus defining the 5' donor site of an intron.
Source: RNAcentral